Camelina sativa (false flax) is the source of this 439-nucleotide non-coding RNA. NCBI's taxonomy places the organism in Eukaryota, Viridiplantae, Streptophyta, Magnoliopsida, Brassicales, Brassicaceae. The record is from RefSeq and is a predicted model, not a curated record.
CAUUGAUUUGCAGGAAGUAGCUGAUAAUAGCUGUGUGUACAGAAACGAGGUUCAUCACUCUGUAAGUGAACGAACUCAGAUCCUAACAGAUGUGGCUUCUGACCCUACUCUUCCCAGAACCAAGGCUGUGCGUUGUGCCAAGUGCCAGCAUAGCGAGGCCGUCUUCUUCCAGGCUACGGCUAGAGGUGAAGAAGGAAUGACAUUGUUCUUUGUCUGCUGCAACCCGAAUUGUGGUCAUCGCUGGAGAGAGUAGAGUUAAGGAUAUUGAUGUUAAAAGUAGUUACCAGUAAGUGUUAGAUGUGGAAUGAUGGAAAAACCUUCUAGGAGCUAUUUAGUCGUGUUAUGAAAUCAUAAUCCCAACUUGUGUCUCACCAAACAUAAAGAUUGAAACUUUCACUUUGGGAACUGAAAGCAAACGAGAAAAAAACUGAACCCAAAA